CAUGUCCAGAGGCGAGAUCGUCUCCCAAGUUCUGGCGGCCUUGACCUCGACUACAACCCGGUCGUGUCGGCGCUUGCUGUGUGGGUGGAACCCGUGACCGUUCAGGAGCUAUACACGCAGCUUCUCAGUUUUGACG
Molecule: small nucleolar RNA, 136 nt
Filed under: Triticum aestivum (bread wheat)
Lineage: Eukaryota; Viridiplantae; Streptophyta; Magnoliopsida; Poales; Poaceae
Description: Small nucleolar RNA Z247
Rfam family: Small nucleolar RNA Z247
About the family: Z247 is a member of the C/D class of snoRNA which contain the C (UGAUGA) and D (CUGA) box motifs. Most of the members of the box C/D family function in directing site-specific 2'-O-methylation of substrate RNAs.
Source: Rfam by way of RNAcentral